UUGACCUCGGAUCAGGUAGGGUUACCCGCUGAACUUAAGCAUAUCAAUA
This 49-nucleotide ribosomal RNA is filed under the name Scedosporium apiospermum. RNAcentral's name for it is "partial 28S ribosomal RNA". The record is from RNAcentral. RNAcentral also lists the same sequence under 1 other name. Lineage: Eukaryota; Fungi; Ascomycota; Sordariomycetes; Microascales; Microascaceae.